CUGAGAAGAACCCUAAAUCGAUUGGGUGCAUCUGGAACAAAGUUUAAGGGCCAUUGUUGAUCUUGGAAGGGUUGUGGUGCAAGGAAGAGAAGGGCUUGGCUAAAGGAACAGCAAGGGAGUCACGUUCUGAGGAUUUGGGGACACAGAGGGCACAUUAUUCAGGUAAGAAUUCGAAUUAUGCUCUGCUAUGUUGAUGUGUCAUGGAAUUAGGGUUUAUGGAACCCCCUUUGUGAUUAGAUUAAGUGUUACCCUAGUCCCCAAACGACUAUAACCCUGUAUUAGGACCUUAGAGGUCCAGAAGGUCCCAUGCUUGUGUAUUUCGGGACAAUACUUAUCUUAGAAAUCAGUUUGAUCGACUGCAUGGCAUGGACUCGACGAGUCUGAUGAACAGACUCGGCGAGUAGCUUGGAGAUUGACGGGGACUCGGCGAGUUGAGUCGGGGUGGCCCCGCAAUUCUUCCAGGAAGAACUCGUAGAGUAAAAAGGGGAUACUCGACGUGUAGAAAGGGAANNNNNNNNNNNNNNNNNNNNNNNNNNNNNNNNNNNNNNNNNNNNNNNNNNNNNNNNNNNNNNNNNNNNNNNNNNNNNNNNNNNNNNNNNNNNNNNNNNNNUAUGUGAGGGUGCUUAGUUGUUGGGAUUCAGCAGUGUUUGUCAGCUCAGAGUAUAGGCCAACGAGAGCGGGUGUCGGGUAUGCGAGGCAGGAUACAGACCUAGGGCAUUUGAUUGUGGAGGCCUGAGAGGAGGCCGGGAUCAAGCUUGAGUAAGUAAUCGGGAUUAUGCGAUCAGAGUAUUGGUACGUUUGAGGUACGUGAUGGGUUGUACUGCAUUAAUCCCACGGGAUUAUGUUGUGCAUGUUUCUAGAGCUGGAACCGGAAGGUUCCCAGAGUUAGAACCUGAGGGUUCGCAGAGUUUGGGUGUACGGACCCACAGAGAUAUAGCCUCGAGUGGCUAGUAUGUGUUAUGAGAGUCGGUCCAGUCAUGCUGGAGACUCUGUUGGUAUUGCUGGAUCAGUUUGAGGUUGCGGAUUGUGUAUGUUGCAAUGUGAUUGCAUUGGGAGGUCUGGCCCCGGGUUAGUAAUCUUGUUUAGCUGAGGCAGUGAUUUUGAUGAGUGGAGAGAGUGCAUGGGAUUGAGAGCCCCUGCAAGGAUAACCAGGGUAUGUGAAUAGCGGUUACGAAAAAGGGUGGUGUCGCUUGGGGCAAGCACCGUGGCACCGGUUGGAGUGGCAUUAUGGCCAAGAGGGUCCCUUGGAAGGAAAAGGGAAAGGUGUGUAACUCCGAAGGGGAGUGCAAGUUCACAAGAAUGAAAGCUGCAGAGCAGAAUUAUGGUUAGAGUAUUUCGAGUAUGGCUUUGAGCAUCGUGUUCGCGGCAGCGAAGUAGGAACCCAUCUGGGUUGGAGAUGUCUGUUGAGGCUCAGAAGGGAUGCAGGGGGAGAGAGAAUCUUAAAUUCUCCGUGUGAUUCUGAUCAGAGUGUAGGAUGGAUGUAAUGGUUCAUCUUGGGAGAUGUUCGAGGAUAUCAUCAGUGUAUUGGGUCCUCCAACCUGCGGGUGUUGGGACUAGUUCAGUAGGUGUAUGUGAUGGCAAGAGGAGGACUUGUGAGAGUUGCUCUGAGAGUGAGAAUGGAUCUCUCAGUUGGUCCGGGAUGGACAAAGUGGGCUUUGGAUCGGGGAUCCGGUGGUUCAUGGUUUCCUAACCCUUAUGGGUCGAGUGAUUGUUGAGAUUUAGAGCAGAGUUGCAUCUUGGGUAAUUCUCGGUUACAGAGAGCGAUGGACAGUACAGAGAUCGGGCUUCAGUCGACAGAGCAGAUUCAGCAGAUGAGACAGAGGUUAUUGACCGCCCAGAGCCGACAGGAAAAGUUAUGCAGACAGCCACCGAUCCGAGCUUGAGUUUCAGGUCGGCGACUUCGUACUCCCGAAGGCCUCUCUUUGGAGAGGAGUGAUUCGAUUCAAGAAGAAGGGCAAGUUGGGCCCCCGGUACAUUGGGCCAUUUCGGGUGAUUGCAAGGAUAGGCCGGGUAGCCUAUCGAUUGGAGUUGCCAGCGGAGUGGGGACAGAUCCACGACACCUUUCAUGUGUCGCAAUUGAGGAAGUGCUUAGCUGAUGAGUCGGCAGUGGUCCCAUUAGAAGACAUUCAGGUGGAUGCGGGCCUGAAUUAUGCUGAGAGACCAGUGGUCAUCAGAAAUCGGAAGAUCGAGGCUAUGAGGUAUAAGGAGAUACCUCUAGUAUUAGUUCGGUGGCAGCACCGGAUGGGCCGGAAAUGACCGGUGAGCUGGAACGUGAGAUGCGAGAGCAGCAUCCGGAGCUAUUUUCAGAGUGAGACUUCGAGGGCGAAGUCUAGUUCUAGUGGGGGAGAGUUGUAACAGCCCGGAAUUUCAAAUAUCGAUAUAACUAUGAUUUGGGGGUGUUUUAAGAAGGGACUCGGCGAGUUGGAGCCUAGACUCGCCGAGUAGGAUCGCAGACCGGGUCGCGGGUUCGCGACUGGACUCGACGAGUCCAGAUAUGGACUCGGCGAGUCUGCGCUGUUUGGCGAAAACCCUAACCGUUCAGGUUUGGGACGUAUAAAAGGGACUUAUUGGCCGUCAUUGUUCAUUUUAGCCUUCUGAGAAGAACCCUAAAUCGAUUGGGUGCAUCUGGAGCAAGGUUUAAGGGCCAUUGUUGAUCUUGGAAGGGUUGUGGUGCAAGGAAGAGAAGGGCUUGGCUAAAGGAACAGCAAGGGAGUCACGUUCUGAGGAUUUGGGGACACAGAGGGCACAUUAUUCAGGUAAGAAUUCGAAUUAUGCUCUGCUAUGUUGAUGUGUCAUGGAAUUAGGGUUUAUGGAACCCCUUUGUGAUUAGAUUAAGUGUUACCCUAGUCCCCAAACGACUAUAACCCUGUAUUAGGACCUUAGAGGUCCAGAAGGUCCCAUGCUUGUGUAUUUCGGGACAAUACUUAUCUCAGGAAGCAGUUUGAUCGACUGCAUGGCAUGGACUCGACGAGUCUGAUGAACAGACUCGGCGAGUAGCUUGAAGAAUAACUGGGACUCGUCGAGUUGUUCUUCAGACUCGGCGAGUUGAGUCGGGGUGGCCCCGCGAUUCUUCCAGGAGGA
This 3081-nucleotide long non-coding RNA is filed under the name Lactuca sativa (garden lettuce). RNAcentral's name for it is "long non-coding RNA (LSAT_LNC001405)". Lineage: Eukaryota; Viridiplantae; Streptophyta; Magnoliopsida; Asterales; Asteraceae. The record is from RNAcentral.